Molecule: ribosomal RNA, 999 nt
Filed under: uncultured bacterium
Lineage: Bacteria
Description: bacterial SSU rRNA
Rfam family: Bacterial small subunit ribosomal RNA
Source: RNAcentral
UCUUCGGAGGCAGCAGUGGGGAAUUUUGCCCAAUGGGCGAAGCUGAUGCAGCGACGCCGCGUGGGGAUGACGCUUCGGGUGUAACCUCUUCAGUAGGAAGAAGCGAAAGUGACGGUACUGCAGAAGAAGCGCCGGCUAACUACGUGCCAGCAGCCGCGGUAAUACGUAGGGCGCAAGCGUUGUCCGGAAUUAUUGGGCGUAAAGAGCUCGUAGGUGGCUUGUCGCGUCUGCCGUGAAAACCCGAGGCUCAACCUCGGGCGUGCGGUGGGUACGGGCAGGCUAGAGUGUGGUAGGGGAGACUGGAACUCCUGGUGUAGCGGUGAAAUGCGCAGAUAUCAGGAAGAACACCGAUGGCGAAGGCAGGUCUCUGGGCCAUUACUGACACUGAGGAGCGAAAGCAUGGGUAGCGAACAGGAUUAGAUACCCUGGUAGUCCAUGCCGUAAACGUUGGGCACUAGAUGUGGGGGACAUUCCACGUUUUCCGCGUCGUAGCUAACGCAUUAAGUGCCCCGCCUGGGGAGUACGGCCGCAAGGCUAAAACUCAAAGGAAUUGACGGGGGCCCGCACAAGCGGCGGAGCAUGCUGAUUAAUUCGAUGCAACGCGAAGAACCUUACCAAGGCUUGACAUGCACCGGACGGCCGCAGAGAUGUGGCUUUCUUCGGACUGGUGCACAGGUGGUGCAUGGUUGUCGUCAGCUCGUGUCGUGAGAUGUUGGGUUAAGUCCCGCAACGAGCGCAACCCUUGUUCUAUGUUGCCAGCACGUCAUGGUGGGGACUCAUAGGAGACUGCCGGGGUCAACUCGGAGGAAGGUGGGGACGACGUCAAAUCAUCAUGCCCCUUAUGUCUUGGGCUUCAAGCAUGCUACAAUGGUCGGUACAAUGGGUUGCGAAACUGUGAGGUGGAGCGAAUCCCAAAAAGCCGGCCUCAGUUCGGAUUGGGGUCUGCAACUCGACCCCAUGAAGUCGGAGUCGCUAGUAAUCGCAGAUCAGCACGUGCGU